UGAGCUUUUCUUAAGUUAACAACACUAUUCCUUGUAGAAAUUUCUUGAAAAGAACGAACCCCCAUGUUAAUUCUUCUUGUAAAUCUGUGAGAAACAACAUUAGAGCAGCUAAACCUGCAGGUAUAAGCCGUAGCUGUAACUGUCAUUGGCCAUAGCUGCGUAAAUAGAGAAGAUGAAUUACACUGCAACACCAUUAUUUUCUCCAUUUUCAAUCUUUAUACUAAACUAUAACACCAAAUUGAAGAUUCCCAUUGAUCAACAACUUGG
RNAcentral lists this unclassified non-coding RNA (267 nucleotides) under Hevea brasiliensis (rubber tree). The record is from RNAcentral. Lineage: Eukaryota; Viridiplantae; Streptophyta; Magnoliopsida; Malpighiales; Euphorbiaceae.